RNAcentral lists this ribosomal RNA (829 nucleotides) under uncultured bacterium. RNAcentral describes it as "bacterial SSU rRNA". It matches the Rfam family "Bacterial small subunit ribosomal RNA", at positions 615 to 1445 of the family's 1533-position model. The record is from RNAcentral.
UGGGAACUGCGUUNUGAACUGGGUAGCUAGAGUAUGUCAGAGGGGGGUAGAAUUNCACGUGUAGCAGUGAAAUGCGUAGAGAUGUGGAGGAAUACCGAUGGCGAAGGCAGCCCCCUGGGAUAAUACUGACGUUCAUGCUCGAAAGCGUGGGUAGCAAACAGGAUUAGAUACCCUGGUAGUCCACGCCCUAAACGAUGUCGAUUAGCUGUUGGGCAGCUUGACUGCUUAGUAGCGUAGCUAACGCGUGAAAUCGACCGCCUGGGGAGUACGGUCGCAAGAUUAAAACUCAAAGGAAUUGACGGGGACCCGCACAAGCGGUGGAUGAUGUGGAUUAAUUCGAUGCAACGCGAAGAACCUUACCUGGUCUUGACAUGUACGGAACCUUCCAGAGACGGAAGGGUGCCUUCGGGAACCGUAACACAGGUGCUGCAUGGCUGUCGUCAGCUCGUGUCGUGAGAUGUUGGGUUAAGUCCCGCAACGAGCGCAACCCUUGUCAUUAGUUGCCAUCAUUCAGUUGGGCACUCUAAUGAGACUGCCGGUGACAAACCGGAGGAAGGUGGGGAUGACGUCAAGUCCUCAUGGCCCUUAUGACCAGGGCUUCACACGUCAUACAAUGGUCGGUACAAAGGGUAGCCAAGCCGCGAGGCGGAGCCAAUCUCAUAAAACCGAUCGUAGUCCGGAUUGCACUCUGCAACUCGAGUGCAUGAAGUCGGAAUCGCUAGUAAUCGUAGGUCAGCAUACUGCGGUGAAUACGUUCCCGGGUCUUGUACACACCGCCCGUCACACCAUGGGAGUGGGGGAUACCAGAAGUAGGUAGGGUAACCGCAAG